Molecule: ribosomal RNA, 207 nt
Filed under: uncultured bacterium
Lineage: Bacteria
Description: partial 16S ribosomal RNA
Rfam family: Bacterial small subunit ribosomal RNA
Source: RNAcentral
UCUCAGUUCGGAUUGGAGUCUGCAACCCGACUCCAUGAAGCUGGAUUCGCUAGUAAUCGCGCAUCAGCCACGGCGCGGUGAAUACGUUCCCGGGCCUUGUACACACCGCCCGUCAAGCCAUGGGAGCCGGGGGUGCCUGAAGGCCGUGACCGCGAGGAGCGGCCUAGGGUAAAACUGGUGACUGGGGCUAAGUCGUAACAAGGUAUC